Molecule: ribosomal RNA, 493 nt
Filed under: uncultured bacterium
Lineage: Bacteria
Description: partial 16S ribosomal RNA
Rfam family: Bacterial small subunit ribosomal RNA
Source: RNAcentral
GACGAACGCUGGCGGCGUGCUUAACACAUGCAAGUCGAACGGUGAAGGGACCGGUUUUUGCUGGUUCUGGAUGAGUGGCGAACGGGUGAGUAACACGUGAGUAACCUGCCCCCUUCUUCUGGAUAACCGCAUGAAAGUGUGGCUAAUACGGGAUAUUCUGCGCCUGCUGCAUGGUGGGUGUGGGAAAGAUAUUGUUUCGGUGGGGGAUGGGCUCGCGGCCUAUCAGCUUGUUGGUGGGGUGAUGGCCUACCAAGGCGGUGACGGGUAGCCGGCCUGGGAGGGUGGACGGUCACACUGGGACUGAGACACGGCCCAGACUCCUACGGGAGGCAGCAGUGGGGAAUAUUGCACAAUGGGCGCAAGCCUGAUGCAGCGACGCCGCGUGAGGGAUGGAGGCCUUCGGGUUGUAAACCUCUUUCGCCAGUGAAGCAGGCCUGUCCCUUUUGUGGGUGGGUUGACGGUAGCUGGAUAAGAAGCGCCGGCUAACUACGUG